RNAcentral lists this ribosomal RNA (232 nucleotides) under uncultured bacterium. RNAcentral describes it as "partial 16S ribosomal RNA". It matches the Rfam family "Bacterial small subunit ribosomal RNA", at positions 99 to 334 of the family's 1533-position model. The record is from RNAcentral.
CGGACGGGUGAGUAAUGCUUGGGAAUCUGGCUUAUGGAGGGGGGUAACUACGGGAAACUGUAGCUAAUACCGCGUAAUAUCGAAAGAUUAAAGUGUGGGACCUUCGGGCCACAUGCCAUGGGAUGAGCCCAAGUGGGAUUAGGUAGUUGGUGGGGUAAAGGCCUACCAAGCCUGCGAUCUCUAGCUGGUCUGAGAGGAUGGCCAGCCACACUGGAACUGAGACACGGUCCAG